AGAGUUUGAUCCUGGCUCAGGAUGAACGCUAGCUACAGGCUUAACACAUGCAAGUCGAGGGGCAGCAUGGCAGAAGCUUGCUUCUGCUGAUGGCGACCGGCGCACGGGUGCGUAACGCGUAUCUAACCUACCCCUGGCUCUGGGAUAGCCCAUCGAAAGAUGGAUUAAUACCGGAUGGUUUCCUUUGGCGACAUCGCCGUUGGAAUAAAGAUUUAUCGGCCUGGGAUGGAGAUGCGACUGAUUAGGCAGUUGGCGGGGUAACGGCCCACCAAACCUACGAUCAGUAGGGGUUCUGAGAGGAAGGUCCCCCACAUUGGAACUGAGACACGGUCCAAACUCCUACGGGAGGCAGCAGUGAGGAAUAUUGGUCAAUGGGCGCGAGCCUGAACCAGCCAAGUAGCGUGAAGGAUGACGGCCCUAUGGGUUGUAAACUUCUUUUGUUUGGGAAUAAAGUGGGGCACGCGCUGCCCCUUUGUAUGUACCUUACGAAUAAGCAUCGGCUAAUUCCGUGCCAGCAGCCGCGGUAAUACGGAAGAUGCGAGCGUUAUCCGGAUUUAUUGGGUUUAAAGGGAGCGUAGGCGGACUGUUAAGUCAGCGGUGAAAUGUCAGGGCCCAACCCUGGCUUGCCGUUGAUACUGUCGGUCUUGAAUGCACCCAAGGGUGGUGGAAUUCGUGGCGUAGCGGUGAAAUGCAUAGAUAUCACGCAGAACUCCGAUUGCGAAGGCAGCGCGCCGGCGCCCGACUGACGCUGAGGCACGAAAGCGUGGGGAUCGAACAGGAUUAGAUACCCUGGUAGUCCACGCAGUAAACGAUGAGCAUUAGCUGUCCGGGGCGAUUGUGUCCUGGGCGGCACAGCGAAAGCGUUAAAUGCUCCACCUGGGGAGUACGCCGGCAACGGUGAAACUCAAAGGAAUUGACGGGGGCCCGCACAAGCGGAGGAACAUGUGGUUUAAUUCGAUGAUACGCGAGGAACCUUACCCGGGCUCAAACGGCGGAGGAAAGUUUUUGAAAGGAGGCUGCCAGCGAUGGCCUCCGCCGAGGUGCUGCAUGGUUGUCGUCAGCUCGUGCCGUGAGGUGUCGGCUUAAGUGCCAUAACGAGCGCAACCCCCACCGCCAGUUGCCAGCAGGUAAAGCUGGGGACUCUGGCGGGACUGCCGGCGCAAGCUGCGAGGAAGGCGGGGAUGACGUCAAAUCAGCACGGCCCUUACGUCCGGGGCGACACACGUGUUACAAUGGCGGGCACAGCGGGGCGCCACCCGGCGACGGGGCGCCGAACCCGAAAGCCCGCCUCAGUUCGGAUCGGAGUCUGCAACCCGACUCCGUGAAGCUGGAUUCGCUAGUAAUCGCGCAUCAGCCAUGGCGCGGUGAAUACGUUCCCGGGCCUUGCACUCACCGCCCGUCA
RNAcentral lists this ribosomal RNA (1402 nucleotides) under uncultured bacterium. Its description in RNAcentral is "16S ribosomal RNA". It matches the Rfam family "Bacterial small subunit ribosomal RNA". The record is from RNAcentral.